Molecule: ribosomal RNA, 638 nt
Filed under: Meiothermus sp. enrichment culture clone JAC10
Lineage: Bacteria; Thermotogati; Deinococcota; Deinococci; Thermales; Thermaceae
Description: bacterial SSU rRNA
Rfam family: Bacterial small subunit ribosomal RNA
Source: RNAcentral
UUCGGCUGGUUAGUGGCGGACGGGUGAGUAACACGUGGGAGACGUGUUCCUCAAGUGGGGGAAAACCAGGGGAAACCCUGGCUAAUCCCCCAUGUGAACCCCCGCCCUGGCGGGUGUUUAAAGCUUCGGCGCUUGAGGAUCGGCCCGCGCUGCAUCAGGUAGUUGGUGGGGUAAUGGCCUACCAAGCCGACGACGCAUAGCUGGUCUGAGAGGACGACCAGCCACAGGAGCACUGAGACACGGGCUCCACUCCUACGGGAGGCAGCAGUUAGGAAUCUUCGGCAAUGGGCGAAAGCCUGACCGAGCGAUACCGCUUGAAGGAUGAAGCCCUUCGGGGUGUAAACUUCUGAACUCGGGACGAUCAUGACGGUACCGAGGUAAUAGCACCGGCUAACUCCGUGCCAGCAGCCGCGGUAAUACGGAGGGUGCGAGCGUUACCCGGAUUUACUGGGCGUAAAGGGCGUGUAGGCGGUCUUUCAAGUCCGGUGCUAAAGUCUGGGGCUCAACCCCAGGACUGCGUUGGAUACUGUGAGGCUAGACGGUCGGAGGGGGUAGCGGAAUUUCCGGAGUAGCGGUGAAAUGCGCAGAUACCGGAAGGAACGCCAAUAGCGAAGGCAGCUACCUGGACGACUUGUGAC